Molecule: ribosomal RNA, 346 nt
Filed under: uncultured bacterium
Lineage: Bacteria
Description: bacterial SSU rRNA
Rfam family: Bacterial small subunit ribosomal RNA
Source: RNAcentral
CAGGAGGGAGUAACGGUUGGAAACGGCCGCUAAUAACCCCAUAUGCCGCGAGGUGAAAUGAAUUUACGCCUGAGGAUGAGCUCGCGUCUGAUUAGCUAGUUGGUUGUAGGUAAGUGGCUCACCAAGGCAUCGAUCAGUAGCUGGUCUGAGAGGAUGAUCAGCCACACUGGGACGUGAGACACGGCCCAGACUCCUACGGGAGGCAGCAGUGGGGAAUUUUCCGCAAUGGGCGAAAGCCUGACGGAGCAACGCCGCGUGAGGGAUGAAGGCCUCUGGGCUGUAAACCUCUUUUAUCAAGGAAGAAGAUCUGACGGUACUUGAUGAAUAAGCCACGGCUAAUUCCGUG